Molecule: ribosomal RNA, 253 nt
Filed under: uncultured bacterium
Lineage: Bacteria
Description: partial 16S ribosomal RNA
Rfam family: Bacterial small subunit ribosomal RNA
Source: RNAcentral
UACAGAGGGGGCAAGCGUUGUUCGGAAUUACUGGGCGUAAAGGGCGCGUAGGCGGCCUACUAAGUCAGACGUGAAAUCCCCAGGCUUAACUUGGGAACUGCGUCUGAUACUGGGAGGCUUGAGUGCGGGAGAGGGAUGUGGAAUUCCAGGUGUAGCGGUGAAAUGCGCAGAUAUCAGGAGGAACACCGAUGGCGAAGGCAGGUCUCUGGGCAUUAACUGACGCUGAGGAGCGAAAGCAUGGGGAGCGAACAGG